CCAGCCCCCACAAGUGUGGGAUGCGUCGUGCAUUAGGUUACCUUUUUUCUAUGAGAAUGUUCGCAAACGCCUGAAGCUUCAUUUAUCGCAUUUCAGGUCAUUAAAAUUGUCUUAUAUACUUGCUGGCUAAAUGAUUCAAGGACAUUUUUUAUGUGAUUAUUUUCAUGGCAUGUCUCUUAUGUUCUCCUAAAUCAAUUAUAUGAUAUGUGUUGUAUAAUACAAUCCUGCUAACCUUUGCAUGACAAUGAUGGUAGGUUAUGCGUCUUUGGUCAUUA
This 275-nucleotide unclassified non-coding RNA is filed under the name Hevea brasiliensis (rubber tree). Lineage: Eukaryota; Viridiplantae; Streptophyta; Magnoliopsida; Malpighiales; Euphorbiaceae. The record is from RNAcentral.